ACAGCGCGGGCGCAGGCGCCCAGAGGCGCACAGGAGACCUCAGGCCCAGACUCCACUCCCCAGCUGUGAAAGGACUGCUGGCCAGACCCCCAAGCUAGCCCGCCAGGCCUCCAUAGAGCUGCCCAGCAUGGCUGCAUCCAGUACCAAGAGUUGGUGGGAGACGGGUGAGGUACAGGCUCAGUCUGCGGCCAAGACUCCGUCCUGCAAG
This 208-nucleotide long non-coding RNA is filed under the name Homo sapiens (human). RNAcentral's name for it is "HSALNT0295160". The record is from RNAcentral. Lineage: Eukaryota; Metazoa; Chordata; Mammalia; Primates; Hominidae.